RNAcentral lists this ribosomal RNA (768 nucleotides) under uncultured bacterium. RNAcentral describes it as "bacterial SSU rRNA". It matches the Rfam family "Bacterial small subunit ribosomal RNA", at positions 8 to 794 of the family's 1533-position model. The record is from RNAcentral.
AGAGUUUGAUCCUGGCUCAGGAUGAACGCUAGCAGAACGCCUAACACAUGCAAGUCGAACGGGCUUGUUGACUUCGGUUAACAAGUUAGUGGCAAACGGGCGAGUAACACGUGCUUAAUCUGCCCUGGAGAUGGGAACAACUACGGAGACGUAGCUAAAUCCCAAUACGCUCAUGAGAAUGAAAAUAUCAUGAGGAAACAAUUUAUUGCUCUAGGAGGAGGGUGCGGCCUAUCAGGUUGUUGGUGAGGUAAUGGCUCACCAAGCCUAUGACGGGUAGCCGGUCUGAGAGGAUGUCCGGCCGCAAUGGAACUGAGACACGGUCCAUACCCCUACGGGGGGCAGCAGUGGGGAAUCUCGGUCAAUGGGCGAAAGCCUGAACCAGCGAUUCUGCGUGAAGGAUGAAGCCUCGCGGGGUGUAAACUUCUUUUUUGGGGGAAGACGAAUGACGGUACCCCACGAAUAAGGGACGGCUAACUACGUGCCAGCAGCCGCGGUAAUACGUAGGUCCCAAGCGUUAUCCGGAAUUACUGGGCGUAAAGAGUCUGUAGCUGGUUAUGUAAGUCUAUUUUUAAAGAUCUUGGCUCAACCAAGGGAAGGGAAUGGAUACUGCAUAUCUGGAGGUUUUUAGGGGUUAGUAGAAUUCCCGGUGGAGGGGUGAAAUCCGUUGAUAUUGGGAGGAAUGCCGAAAGCGAAAGCAGCUAACUAUAAUUAUCCUGACAGUGAGAGACGAAAGCAUGGGUAGCAAACGGGAUUAGAUACCCCGGUAGU